UUGUAAAGUACUUUCAGCAGUGAGGAAGGUGGGUAUGUUAAUAGCAUACUCAUUUGACGUUAGCUGCAGAAGAAGCACCGGCUAACUCCGUGCCAGCAGCCGCGGUAAUACGGAGGGUGCGAGCGUUAAUCGGAAUUACUGGGCGUAAAGCGCAUGCAGGUGGUUUGUUAAGUCAGAUGUGAAAGCCCGGGGCUCAACCUCGGAAUUGCAUUUGAAACUGGCAAACUAGAGUACUGUAGAGGGGGUAGAAUUUCAGGUGUAGCGGUGAAAUGCGUAGAGAUCUGAAGGAAUACCGGUGGCGAAGGCGGCCCCCCUGGACAGAUACUGACACUCAGAUGCGAAAGCGUGGGGAGCAAACAGGAUUAGAUACCCUGGUAG
Molecule: ribosomal RNA, 378 nt
Filed under: uncultured bacterium
Lineage: Bacteria
Description: bacterial SSU rRNA
Rfam family: Bacterial small subunit ribosomal RNA
Source: RNAcentral